CCUACGGGGGGCAGCAGUGAGGAAUAUUGGUCAAUGGCCGAGAGGCUGAACCAGCCAAGUCGCGUGAGGGAAGACGGCCCUACGGGUUGUAAACCUCUUUUGUCGGGGAGCAAAGCGAGUCACGUGUGACUCAUUGAGAGUACCCGAAGAAAAAGCAUCGGCUAACUCCGUGCCAGCAGCCGCGGUAAUACGGAGGAUGCGAGCGUUAUCCGGAUUUAUUGGGUUUAAAGGGUGCGCAGGCGGAGGUGCAAGUCAGCGGUCAAAUUGCGGGGCGCAACCCCGUACUGCCGUUGAAACUGCAGCCCUUGAGUGCGCGAGAAGUAUGCGGAAUGCGUGGUGUAGCGGUGAAAUGCAUAGAUAUCACGCAGAACUCCGAUUGCGAAGGCAGCAUACCGGCGCGCAACUGACGCUCAUGCACGAAAGCGUGGGUAUCGAACAGGAUUAGAUACCCGUGUAGUC
RNAcentral lists this ribosomal RNA (459 nucleotides) under uncultured bacterium. Its description in RNAcentral is "partial 16S ribosomal RNA". It matches the Rfam family "Bacterial small subunit ribosomal RNA", at positions 338 to 795 of the family's 1533-position model. The record is from RNAcentral.